GUGCCAGCAGCCGCGGUAAUACGUAGGGCGCAAGCGUUGUCCGGAAUUAUUGGGCGUAAAGAGCUCGUAGGCGGUUUGUCGCGUCUGCUGUGAAAACGCAAGGCUUAACCUUGCGCCUGCAGUGGGUACGGGCAGACUAGAGUGCGGUAGGGGAGACUGGAAUUCCUGGUGUAGCGGUGGAAUGCGCAGAUAUCAGGAGGAACACCGAUGGCGAAGGCAGGUCUCUGGGCCGUUACUGACGCUGAGGAGCGAAAGCAUGGGGAGCGAACAGGAUUAGAUA
RNAcentral lists this ribosomal RNA (280 nucleotides) under uncultured Actinomycetales bacterium. Its description in RNAcentral is "partial 16S ribosomal RNA". It matches the Rfam family "Bacterial small subunit ribosomal RNA", at positions 505 to 784 of the family's 1533-position model. Lineage: Bacteria; Bacillati; Actinomycetota; Actinomycetes; Actinomycetales. The record is from RNAcentral.